RNAcentral lists this unclassified non-coding RNA (400 nucleotides) under soil metagenome. RNAcentral describes it as "partial contains 5.8S ribosomal RNA, internal transcribed spacer 2, and large subunit ribosomal RNA". The stretch from base 1 to 122 matches the Rfam family "5.8S ribosomal RNA", at positions 35 to 154 of the family's 154-position model. The record is from RNAcentral.
GAUGAAGAACGUAGCGAAAUGCGAUACUUGGUGUGAAUUGCAGAAUCACGUGAACCAUCGAGUCUUUGAACGCAAGUUGCGCCUCAAGCCAUUAGGUUGAGGGCACGUCUGCCUGGGCGUCACAUAUCGUUGCCUGAUGCCAGUUUCCUCGUGAUGGGUGACUGUGCAGGGCGAAUGAUGGCUUCCCGUGAGCAUUGUUGCCUCAUGGUUGGUUGAAAAUUGAGUCCUUGGUAGGGAGCGCCGUGAUAGAUGGUGGUUGAGUGACGAACGAGACCCAAUCAUGUGAGACCCCUACCGAAUUUGGCCUUCAUGACCCACAUGCGUCUUUGGAACGCUCAUGACGAGACCUCAGGUCAGGCGGGGCUACCCGCUGAGUUUAAGCAUAUCAAUAAGCGGAGGA